This 1082-nucleotide long non-coding RNA is filed under the name Chinchilla lanigera (long-tailed chinchilla). RNAcentral's name for it is "lncRNA (ENSCLAG00000028574.1)". Lineage: Eukaryota; Metazoa; Chordata; Mammalia; Rodentia; Chinchillidae. The record is from RNAcentral.
GUCUUACCUAGGUAGUCUCUGAGGUAGAGCACACAAUUCCCUGGUGGAAUUUUGUCUCCUACAGCAGUAGGAAUUCAUGAAGUUCUUAUUUAUUCACAGGUAGUGAGUGUGCAUAUGGCAACUACCAUGAAAUAUCUUUGGAAGGAAUGCCAGAUGCAGAUGGAGUAGCCAGCACUCCCUCCCUCAAUGUUCAGGAGCCAUGCUCUCCAGCCAUAUCCAGUGAAGCAUUUACUCCAAAGGAGAGCUCUCCUUACAAAGUUCCCAUCUACAUCCCUGAUGACAUCCCCAUUCCAGCUGAGUUUGAACUUCGAGAGUCAAAUAUGCCCGGAGCAGGACUAGGAAUAUGGACCAAAAGGAAGAUUGAAGUAGGUGAAAAGUUUGGACCUUAUGUGGGAGAGCAGAGGUCAAACCUGAAAGACCCCAGUCAUGGAUGGGAGAGGUGGCGAGCAGCACAGAGGCUCAGAUCGGAACGGAGUAUUUGUACUGACUCCAACAGGAAGAAGACAUAAAGCUUUCCCAGUGUCCUGGAGGGUAAAUAACUCUGAUCCUCAAACAUUAAAACAAUUCGAAUAAAUUCACCAGUUUACGUUAUGUUCCUGCAAAAGUUUUCUGCUCUUCCUUUUCUUUUUGGUACUGGGGAUUGAACGCAAGGCCAUUCCACUGAGCUACAUCCUCAGACCUUUUAAUUUUUGUUAUUUUGAGACAGGGUCUUGCCAAGUAGCACAGUCGCCCAGAUAAAGCUUGAAAUUGCCAUCCUCUUGUCUCAACCUUACAGUGCUGGUAUUACAGGUGUGUGCCACCACACCCAGCUUUACAGCAUAGUGAAAAUGUGUUCAAGUAUCAUGAGAGCCAUACAAUAAAGCAUUUUCAUUUAUUUAUGGAAUACUAACCUUAAAAUACUAUCGUUGCAUUUUGAACAGAUACAUCAUAGUUUUAAGAUAGUAGAUUCAAUUUAACCCUUUUAAAAAUUUAAGACAUGUUGAAAUUUGGGUAUGCUGCCACCAGGUGGUGGUAAACCCUUUGAGUCAUAGGUCAUUGUGCUUUAAAUUCUUUUUAAAAAUUGCUUUAAAUAAAAACAGUAA